AAGAUGGUAAAGAGGAGAACGAUGAAGAAGAAGGAAGCAAAGGUGAAUAAUUGAUUUUCUCUUUAGUGAUUAUUGAUCACGUGGUGGUUUUGUGUUUGUGUCUUUAAUUACUGCACACAUUUGGUAAAAAUGGAUCUUUUGUUUUUGAUCUUUUAAGCUUAGGUAGGCGUCAACGAAGAAGAAGAACAACAUUAAAAGCAAUUAAGAGAUUUUUGUUUAUUGGCAAAAAAAAAAAAGAGAUUUUUGUUUUUGACUAUUUGUUUCUUGUAACAACAUUAAAAGCAAUUGAGAGUUUUCUUAGAACCGUGACGCCGUCGCUCAAUCUCAAACGACACAAAGGCCAAGCUGAUCAGUACUCUCCUUCGUCCCUGGAUAAUUGCUUCUCGGUUUAGUGUGUCUCUCCUUCUUGAUUUAGUUACGCAAUAUACUUUGGUGGAUUAAGGGCUAGAUAAUAGUAAGAAGACCCUUUUCUUUUAUCUUUUCCUAAGAUUUAGUUUGUAUGGUGUUGAAAUAUAAUAAAGAAAGAAAAAGAGAAGGUAGG
This 541-nucleotide long non-coding RNA is filed under the name Arabidopsis lyrata. RNAcentral's name for it is "long non-coding RNA (ALYR_LNC001547)". Lineage: Eukaryota; Viridiplantae; Streptophyta; Magnoliopsida; Brassicales; Brassicaceae. The record is from RNAcentral.